CGCGUAGGCGGUUUUGUAAGUCAGAUGUGAAAGCCCGGGGCUCAACCCCGGAAGUGCAUUUGAUACUGCGAGACUUGAGUAUGGGAGGGGAAGUGGAAUUCCUGGUGUAGAGGUGAAAUUCGUAGAUAUCAGGAGGAACACCAGUGGCGAAGGCGACUUCCUGGACCAAUACUGACGCUGAUGCGCGAAGGCGUGGGGAGCAAACA
This 206-nucleotide ribosomal RNA is filed under the name uncultured delta proteobacterium. Its description in RNAcentral is "partial 16S ribosomal RNA". It matches the Rfam family "Bacterial small subunit ribosomal RNA", at positions 568 to 774 of the family's 1533-position model. Lineage: Bacteria; Deltaproteobacteria. The record is from RNAcentral.